GACCUCUUCAUCAGCAAUUUAAUCAAUUUUCAAAAAUUACCGUAUUUUUAAAACAGACAAGAACGAGAGGUCUG
RNAcentral lists this non-coding RNA (74 nucleotides) under Tieghemostelium lacteum. Lineage: Eukaryota; Evosea; Eumycetozoa; Dictyosteliales; Raperosteliaceae. The record is from Rfam by way of RNAcentral.